UACGUAGGGUGCGAGCGUUAAUCGGAAUUACUGGGCGUAAAGCGUGCGCAGGCGGUUUUGUAAGACAGUUUUGAAAUCCCCGGGCUCAACCUGGGAAUUGCAUCUGUGACUGCAUAGCUAGAGUACGGUAGAGGGGGAUGGAAUUCCGCGUGUAGCAGUGAAAUGCGUAGAUAUGCGGAGGAACACCGAUGGCGAAGGCAAUCCCCUGGACCUGUACUGACGCUCAUGCACGAAAGCGUGGGGAGCAAACAGG
Molecule: ribosomal RNA, 253 nt
Filed under: uncultured bacterium
Lineage: Bacteria
Description: partial 16S ribosomal RNA
Rfam family: Bacterial small subunit ribosomal RNA
Source: RNAcentral